This 257-nucleotide unclassified non-coding RNA is filed under the name uncultured Microbacteriaceae bacterium. RNAcentral's name for it is "contains 16S-23S intergenic spacer region". Lineage: Bacteria; Bacillati; Actinomycetota; Actinomycetes; Micrococcales; Microbacteriaceae. The record is from RNAcentral.
AAGGCUUGACAUAACCGAGUGUCCAAAGAGUUCCACAUUUCUGCGGCGUUCUCGGUUAUGUCAAGCCUUGGUAAGGUUCUUCGCGUUGCAUCGAAUUAAUCCGCAUGCUCCGCCGCUUGUGCGGGCCCCCGUCAAUUCCUUUGAGUUUUAGCCUUGCGGCCGUACUCCCCAGGCGGGGCGCUUAAUGCGUUAGCUACGACACGGAAACCGUGGAAAGGUCCCCACAUCUAGCGCCCAACGUUUACGGCGUGGACUAC